Molecule: ribosomal RNA, 679 nt
Filed under: Mucor koreanus
Lineage: Eukaryota; Fungi; Mucoromycota; Mucoromycetes; Mucorales; Mucoraceae
Description: eukaryotic LSU rRNA
Rfam family: Eukaryotic large subunit ribosomal RNA
Source: RNAcentral
AAAUAACAUUGAUUUCCCUAGUAACGGCGAGUGAAGAGGAGAGAGCUCAAAGUUGGAACCUGUUUGGCUUAGCUAAACCGGAUUGUAAACUGUAGAAGUUUUUUCCAGACACGCCUGGUAAAAAAGUCCUUUGGAACAGGGCAUCAUAGAGGGUGAGAAUCCCGUCUUUGGCCAGAGCUGUUGUCUUUUGUGAUACAUUUUCAAAGAGUCAGGUUGUUUGGGAAUGCAGCCUAAAUUGGGUGGUAAAUCUCACCUAAAGCUAAAUAUUUGCGAGAGACCGAUAGCGAACAAGUACCGUGAGGGAAAGAUGAAAAGAACUUUGAAAAGAGAGUUAAACAGUAUGUGAAAUUGUUAAAAGGGAACCGUUUGGAGCCAGACUGGCUUGAUCGUAAUCAAUCUAAGCUUCGGCUUGGAUGCACUUGCGGUCUUUGCCUGCCAACGACAAUUUUUUUUGGAGGAAAAAACUAGGAGAAAUGUGGCCCCUCGGGGUGUUAUAGUCUCUUAGAAAAUACUCUGAAUUGGAUUGAGGAACGCAGUGAAUGCCUUUAGGCAAGAUUGCUGGGCGCUUUCGCUGAUAGGUGUUAGAAUUUCUGCCUUGGGUGGUGCUAAUAGUUAAAGGAGAAACUCGCUUAGUAUAUUUUUUAUUCGCUUAGGUUGUUGGCUUAAUGACUCUAAUGAC